RNAcentral lists this ribosomal RNA (465 nucleotides) under uncultured bacterium. RNAcentral describes it as "bacterial SSU rRNA". It matches the Rfam family "Bacterial small subunit ribosomal RNA", at positions 28 to 507 of the family's 1533-position model. The record is from RNAcentral.
GACGAACGCUGGCGGCGUGCUUUCUUCUUGCAAGUCGAACGAUGAAGUUCCUUCGGGAAUGGAUUAGUGGCGAACGGGUGAGGAACACGUGAGAAACCUGCCUUUCAUUCUGGAAUAACACCGGGAAACCGGUGCUAAUACCGGAUACUCCGUCUUGGCGGCAUCGCCAAGCCGGGAAAAAAUUUUGAUGAAAGAUGGUCUCGCGGCCAAUCAGCUAGUUGGUGAGGUAAUGGCUCACCAAGGCGACAACGGGUAGCCGGCCUGAGAGGGCGACCGGCCACACUGGGACUGAGACACGGCCCCAAACUCCUACGGGAGGCAGCAGUAGGGAAUAUUGGGCAAUGGGCGCAAGCCUGACCCACCGACGCCGCGUGAGGGAUGAAGGUCUUCGGAUUGUAAACCUCUUUCAGUAGGGAAGAAGCGAAAGUGACGGUACCUAAAGAAGAAGCACCGGCUAACUAUGUG